AUUUUAGCAAACAAUAGAUUACAUACUGAAACAAGGUGUUCUUUAAGGGCAUUAAUGUUCCUUUAUUUCAGAGAGGGCUAGGGUUCAUGGUCUAGAAACUAUUUGAAAAUAAUACAGCAAGAAGGGCUGCACUGUUCUGCAUUUCCAAUGGUGAGAUCCUCGCCCUGGAGUGUGAAUCCUGCCUGAUGCUGAGGCAGGAUGGCCUGUGCUGUGCCACUGGAACAGAAGUGCUGAAAUGCUGACAGCACUGUCCAUCUGCUGCCAACACAGCAUUAGCCAUUAGUGCUAAAGCUGAUGGACAACAGGCAGUGGAGAGGAUCUGCAGUCAACUUUGGGGGUUUGUCAUUUCUUUUUUCAAAAUACAUAUAUAUAUUGUUUCUUGUAAGAGUGUUGGUGUAACUGAAACCACAAGUCUGAUUAGCAAUGCUGUCAUGUUUUUUUUACUGCUGAGACUUGACAGGCAUAUGUACACUGACUAGUGGGAAUAUUUAACAUGCAGCAAAAAAAUUGGGCCAGGAAAUGUGUUUGGGGUUGUGUUUAUUUGAAUAAAAAAUACACAUCACAGACUGAGCUCUCCUCACCAAAGGAGGGGAAAAACCUCCACACACAGGAGGAUCUGAACUAUGGUCUUCAUAUCUGGGUAGUUUUGCCGUUUCUUCCUCACCUUCUGCCUGAAGCAUGAUGAAAACACUCUAAUGACUCUAAUAGGAACUAAAAUGACACAGUUUUUAGCAGCCAGUGAGAGCUGACUCUCCUGUUUUCUGAAGUACCAGAAGUGACCAAAUGUAAUGGUAAAGCAAAUGCUUGUCAAUAAGAGAUAAAAAUGUAACAAACACACACACUGAGUUCAGAAAAGGAGUUUCGUGCCCGAGUGAAAAGGUUUUACGAUGGUGCACUCCUCUAGCUUCAAGGAAUUGUAUGGUUUUGAUAUGUGUGUUCCCACCUCGGAUUGGUAGGGAUUGGUAGGGACCAGUAGGUGAUGGUGAUGCAAUUUGUGAUUGUCAUAUUUGUAUUGUUUUUAAAGCUUUUAAAGUGUGUGAGGGAAUGAGCACAGAAGAUGGCCAGGCUGGUGUGCACAGUUUCACAGCUGAGCAUGUUAUGGAAUGGUGUAUUUUCUUAGCUUUGAAUCUGCCACCUGCUAAUGACACUUGAGGACCCCGUGUGCUUUCCCAGAGGAGACAGUUCUCAGUCCCUGGGCCAGCAGGGACAGGGAAAAUGUGCAUCAGUGACUGCAGAAAAACCCCAAAGGAGUAUGGGCACUAUGCAACAAGCAUUUAAGCUUCUGGGAAUCUCUCUGAAAGAGUUUUAAAGGAAUAAGGAACUUGCUGUCAGGUAUUUUUUCUGACUGUUGUGUGUGCACCCCCCAGUCCCCAUCUAAGAGUUAAACUUCAACACGAAUAUUUUACCACUGGAAUUGGUAACAGAGUUUUCAUGGGCAAACAGACAACAAGCACAAACAACGGUGCUCUUACCUGAAAGAAAAAUGAUCAGUAGGCCUGCGUGCUCUUUUCUUUAAUUUCCGUUAAUCAAUUAAUAGCCUGAGGCAUGAGGUUUUUCAUUGAAUAUUAGUGACUUUUGUCUUCUGAAGGAACAGCGAAACAUUACAGAGCACAGCUCUGUAAUUCAGGAAUUACACCUAAAUUAAGAUAAGAAGAGGCACUAAUUAGAGAAGAGACAUGAGAGGAAGGCAAUAGUGCUUGAUGUGGAGAGCUGAGCAGAUAUUAGUUAUCUAGUUCCAUCCCCCCAGUGGCAGGGGGAUUACAAUUGGAUGAUCUUCAAGGUCCCUUCAAACCCAAACGAUUCUAUGAUUCUAUUACCUCCGUAACAGCUGUGGUGAGCAGCAUCCUUGGUUAGAAAGCAUCUUUUUUGAAACAAGGUACUAAAAUAGCCCACUACAAAUACUAAAUAGUCAGGAAUCUAUAGAGUUUUUCAGUAAGAUUGAGCAAGAGAUUUUCUUUUCAAGGCUGAUGGCAGAAUUCCAUUUUUCUUUUCUUCCUUCUUAAAAGGAUUGAUUUAAAUUGUUUUUCCAACCCCUUGUCUUCCAGUUGUGCUUCCAUUAGUGAUUAAUUUGGGCUUAUCUGUAUGCCAUCAGUUUUGUUUGCUACUGAUUUUUGCACCUGCUUAGAACUGCAGAUGUGGUCAGAAGAGUUCCAGAUGGAGUGCCAAGUUACAAAAGUAACAAAGUUAUCAAAAAUACCUGCAAAGUACACGUGUCCCCUUUACAACUGUUUCUGUGGCAUUUUCAGUGCGAGGCAAGUGAAGCUGAAGGGAGGAUAUGACAACCAACCAACCCCAAACAACUUUUUGUUUUAAAUCACCCCAAAAUGUACCCUUGAAGCAUGGCAGACUUCUAAAAAAUUCUGUGUAUUUAUGAGUCAUCUUAGCAUUGUUUGCUUUUCUUUUUGGCUUCAGGAUCCAUGAAAAAUUGGCAGAGUCCAGUGCUGGUGAGUAUCUCUGCAACCCUCAACAGCAAGUGAAUGGGCAAAAAAGCGGGACUAAAUUAGACAAAGAGCCAUUUGAAGUAGAUGCAGCAUUUCCAACUUACUGGCUGUAUCAUCAACAGCUCCUGUGUGCCAGCUGAGUUAGAAGAUCUGGCAAAUCCAGGAUAUAUUGCAGGAUCUGCCUCUAGUUCUGUUCCAAUGUCAGCUCAUAUUUCUGCCUAAACUGAAGUUAAUUUACAGCUCAGGGAACUGGCUACAUUCCACCAACCAGCCCUGUUCCUCAGUUGUAGGUGAAGAGUUCAACUGCAGUUGAAAUUCCUCCAUUGUUUCCAGCAGAUGAUUCAAAUAAUGAGUGUGGGACGUUCUGCCAGUUGCUAAUUCUGAACUUCCAGUAAAUAAUUCUUAUAUUGUAUGCAUAUAAAGAUAAUAUGUCUCUUGUGGGCGGUGCCAGGUGUGACAGUUGGUAGUAUUACACUCUGCUAUGGUGAUAAAGCUGUGUGUGUCUCAGGGAGUAACUAGAUUAUAUUUAACUGUGUUCCCUUGUAGCUUGUCACUGGUUUCCAGUGUGCUGUUGAGUAGCAUCAGUGUGAAAGUAUCACGAGAGAGAACUUCCUUCCAAAGGAAUCAAAUCCUGUUCUGGAUCUCAAUGAGUGUUUGAACUAGACCCUGCCCCUAAGUUAUGUACAGCACGUUGCCUGUUGCCUUCUGUGUUCUCCAUGUACAUCCCUGAAUAUUCUCCCUCAGCCAGAUAUGAGUGUUUUCUGUGUGCACAAACCCCUGUCUGUCCAAAUCUCUGCCCUGCUGAGGCACAGGACUCAGGCUUGCUUUCAGUGUGGAGUUUAUAGGUUAGUUCUACUUGAAACAAAUGAAAAAGGAAAUUGUUGUUUUUCAAGAAAAAAACCCAAAUAAACCCUGACCAAAAUAAUCACCCAGAGCAGUACUGCUGGUUAGAAAGGAAGAACAACUUUGUGUCAAAACUUUUCUCAAACUUUACAGGUCCUGGGUGGAUUUAUUUGCUUUGUGCAACACUGUUUUCCAAUCAAAUCACAAAGUAAUCUGACUAACUUUAUCUUUUAAGUUAAAAACUAUUGUUUGCUGUAUACACGUUGUUCAGGCAACACCAGGUGUCUUUUCUCUCACAGAUUUCCAAUUCAUUUUAUGAAGCGAGUAGACAAAGUUAAUUAGUUUUUGCCACCUUGCAGAAUCAUAAAUUACUACGGAACAAGUUUUAUGCUUUUAAAAUAUGUGAAUACAAUGUUCUUGGGUAAGUGCCUGCUUAGUAACGCAGGAGUGACUAAAUGUCUCUUUUCCAAAGAACACCAUGGCUUUUAGCACAGCCCUGACCUGGAUGAAGGAACCCCCCUCACCUGGUGGGUAAAGGAAGGGGAAAUUCGCCUGCCCCAUGUUCUGUGGGAGCACUGGAUGACUGUCAUGGGAGCAGUCAAACCAGAGAACAGGAAGGAUUUCAGUUUCGUCAGGGAGACAGUCAGCAGGCUCUUCAUAUAGUCACUUAUCCCAGAUUAUCUCAGAGACCUGGGAGUCAGGGUAACGUAAACUUUUUUUAGGGGAGUGGGACAGGGAUGACAGACUGUCUUUUCUCUGCACCCCUUAUGCUUUCUCUCACAAGUAUUUGACUAAACUCCAGGAAAGAAUACACUAGAAAUGUUUUUUCAUAUGAGCUCGUCAGUUCAUGCCCAUACUUGGAAAAAUCUUUCUUUUAACGUUAUUUGAAUAACUAAAAUGAAGUUAUUUGCCAGGCAGAUUAUACAUUCUUUCAGUUCUUUGUCUUUUGUUAUAUGUUGUGGUGCUUUUUACUAGAAAAUAGAAACCUUUUCAAGUCCGUGUCUGUGAUAGAUAAGGGGAGCCUUUCAGUUGCCUCUUCUAUUUAGUUAACAGUUACAAGUCCACUUUAUGACCAGUAAAAUACAAGUGUGCACAUAUCUGGGCUGAAAUCUGAACUUCUAAAUAGUCUAAAACUUGUAUAGUUUUCAAUUAACAGAGAAAAAUGCUUUUCAGAUGAUUUUUAUAGCCUUGUCUGAUCUUGCUUUAUCCCAUUACUGACAUAAAUUUUGGUCAUGCCAUCUUUCAGUUAGAUAGCCUACACAUUUCACAGAAUACUAAUCUGGAAGCUAAUAUUUUGAGAAAAGGUGCAGUUUGGGUAGAAUCUGUGCAUAUAUUUCAGUAUUUUUCCAGUGUUAUUACCCUCUCUAAGAAUAAAGAGAAAAGGUAAGCAAAAAGAAAAGAGACUGUUUCUGCCCCAGAGAAGACAAGGAUGUUCACAGUGUUAGCCUGGGACUUCGGAAAAUAAGAUUAAUUUUUAUUUUUAGUGGCAAACUUUGCCAUGAUAAAAAGCAAUGUAAUGUAAUUUUUAAAUACUUCAUUUUUGUGCUCCUUUUGUGGAACUGAUCUUCCAUGUGUCACAGGGCUCUUCUGAAGUUCAAUAUUUUUACUGUGUAAUCUCUUUUACAGUAUGAGGUGCCAGGUGAGUACCUAAGCCUUAGCUGUAAAGGUAAUCUUCCUCAUUUAGAUUGGCAUUUUGGCUCAUGAAUAUUCUUGGGCACCCAGAAGGAUCAAGUCUUCAAAUAUAUGAGAUCUGCUGAAAAAUGUGCAGUUAGUAUCUUCCCUGACUAGGACCUCUGAAUUUAAUCAGAACGCUAGAUAUACAAUAGAGGCUUUCAAAUUGUCUGCCUCCUACAGAAGCCCCUGCAGCCCUGUUACAGAAUCAUGGAAUUGUCUGGGUAGGAAAAGACCUUUAAGAUCAUUGAGUCGAGCUGUUAACCCAGCACUGCUCAGUCCAUCACCGAACCAUGUCCCCAGGUGCCACAUCUACACUCCAGGUGUCCACACCUGGUCCUUUAAAUAUCUCCAGGGGUGGUGACUCAGCCCUUUCCCGGACAGCCUGUUCCAGUGCUUGGCAACCCUGUUGGUUGUCCCACUCUAAGCCUCCCCAGGUGCAACCUAAGGCCAUUUGCUCUUCUCCUAUCCCUGUUACUUGGGAGCAGAGAUCCCUCUCUGUUCUCUUCAGUCUUAUACAAAGCACGUACUCCCAUGGAAAUUGUUUCUUGUCUGGCAUUUCCUUGUUUGCUUUUGGGACAGCUGCUUAUUAGCCACAGAUUUCUCAAGAGUGGCUUAUGUGCAAUGAAGUUGAGAGCUGUUUAUUUUCCUGCUGUCCUGUGUUGUAAGGAUGGGAGGAUCCAGCAAAAGCACACUCUCUUCAGUGUGCUGUGAGUAAUUCCUUGUGGGUUGACUUGAGGUGCAGGUCACGAAAUGCUUUCUGAUACAGCUUCUCUUAGUUGCAGGACUGGGUCACACCUGUAUCUCUGACACUGUGCAGAAUGGCCACAAGUGUCAUCCUGCCUGUGGAGGGGCAAUGAACCUGGAAUUCUGUCAGUGGAAGGCUGAUCAUGAGACAAACAGCCUGGCUUCCCAAGAGAACUGCCAGCAGUUGUGCUCACAGGGCAGCAAGGGUAGAUUGAAGCUGUGGGCGUGCUUAAUUUUUUGGAUAAAAUGCCAUGGGUGCCAAUCUCUGGUUCCUGGUAAUGAUCUGGAGCAGGUUGGAAAGAUAUCUGCAUGCUCAGCACGAUGGUAUCUCUGAAAUCAGGGAUUGUGCUACUUGAUCUCCACUGGAAUACCUGUGGCUUCAAGAGAUGCUGCAAUGGUGCUUCUGCAUGGAGAGCACUGGCCUUGUGUCUGCCAAGAAAGUUCUACUCACAUGCAGCUGUCUGUGCUCAUACUCCUUCAGUUGUCAUUGAAGUGUGAAAGCUUUAUGAUCCCUGCCAGAUGUAAUGCAGAUAAAAUGCAUCUCACUUGGAGGAAGGAGCCCAUGGGGCUGCUCAUGAUCCUGCAGCACAGCCUGAAGGGAGGUGCAGGAACAAACUGCACUGGCACCUGGGGGGGGGUUGUUCCACCCAGGGACCUCAGGCAGGCUAAGGACUGAGCCAGGUCCUUGCUUCUUGUGAAUUGGGGUGUUUUGUUAUGGUACCUUCCCUCUCAGGUUAACAGGCAGUGUGAAUCCAACAGUUGUACCUUAUAAAAGAAAUACCCUUGGGAGUGGAAAUGGCUGUUCUAAAGGUUGUGGUACUUGGAACUGAAAGAAAAACAUCUAAUCUCUUUUACCAUAGGUAUGGUAUGUCUCUUUUACCAGUGCUAUGUGUUUAGUAAGCACAGAAAGAAACUUUUCUGGUUGUAAUGAACAGAAACUUCUGCUCCAGAACAAAACCAGGCUUGUUAAACAGCAAAAAAAUGUCAGAUUUUAAGUUUUUGAAUGAUUUGUGUGGUGUUUUCUUACUAUAGACAUUUGUUGUUAACAAAGCGUGUUUACCUCUGUCCAGUGUAAUACCUGACCUUUCACACUCUGAUUUUACUGUAUCACACUUUGAAGGUUGUUCCCAUCAAUACUUUUAUGGCCUUUUUUAAAAAUUCAGUUUAAUUUGUUACAGGUUUUUUUGUGCUCUCAUUUUUUCAGUAAUUCCAUACUCCUGUUGACCUGGUGGUGGUUGUACCUAAAAUGCUGUUAUUUGUCUUAAAGUUCACUAAGAUUCCAGCACUAAACUAUGAUGCGGCCAUUAUGUCAGUCAUGGAAUUUUCCUGUUUGCCAUAUUUUAUUCUUUCCUAGGCUGUAGUGCAGCACGUUGGUGGUAAGGACUCAAGGGAACUUAAGCCUUUUCCUGUAGGUCCAUCCUUGUGUUAACAACUGAAAAAUUCUGAAGUAAAUAACCACAGUCCUUUCUGCAUAUCAGAAUUAAUUUUGUGGAAAUGUUUUUUAAGUGUAACUGACGGGUUACAGUUUUGUUCCUACAUGUGUAUGAGUCAAACACAAGCAAGGUCAAAAUGAAAUCUUACAACCAACCACUUUUUAAAUCUCACAGUAAUCCACAAGUAUAGUGUCAAAAUGAUAUUCAGUGUUCUUGAGCACUGAUUAACUUAUAUAACCAGCUGAUGAAAUACUGCCCGUGAUACCCUUUUCAUUCCUCUUGGUACUAAUUUGGAAUUUGAAAUGUUAUUUGAGUGAUUAAGCAGAUGAAAAUCCUGGAAAAAUUUUUAGCUGUUGAAGUUUUAAAGCAAUUCUUGGAAAUCAGACAGUGCCUCUCUCCUCUUGUGAUGUCCAGUUUUAGUAAAGUUCAACUCCCUACGUGAGUAACAGUCCUGUUUGCAUUUCUUUGGAUGAACUGGAAUACUCUACCUAUUUCUUUAUUUUGAGAGCUUUUAAAAAAUCUUUAUUCCAUACUAGCAGUUUAAAUAACAUUUAAAUAACAUUGACUAAGUCCAUUAGCUGGCUGGUGGCAUUCCUGAAAUAGCAUUGACAAUCUGUUUUCAAUGGACUUCCAGCUACAGAAAUGCUCUGAUGAAGUAACCAACAUGAUACAUUCACUUUCCCAGGGAUUUCAGGGGAGGAAGCAAGGGAGCUAGGAAUGCAAAUACUCCUGAAAUUAUUUGAGGAUUAAUAUUAUUAUGAAUUUUUUAGUUCUCAGGAAUCAAGUGACCCUUACAGUAAAACUGUGUUAUUGAGUGCAGGAAUGAAACAAAGAUUCAGUACAACCAUGGGUUUGCUUCCAGAAAUGCCCAGUAUUGCAUAUCAUUUUCUUGUCCUUUGUAUCUGCCAUUUUCAGAGUUAAAUGUGUGCUUCUACUUAUGAUGGCAACCCCAUAGCAACACCAUCUGUUUAUUCAAAUUGAUGUUUCCUUAAAAGUGAAACGUGGUAGUUAAAUAUAGCUUGACAAUUACCUGACAUUUUCAGAGCUUAAGUUGUUUUUCAUUGCAGGAUAGUAAAAAAGCAAAAUUGGAAUUAAUUUGGUUGUCAGACACUGACUGUGUUGUAAAUAAUAUUUUGCAAAACCAAAUACCCCAAUUUUCUGUGAAGAAAUGCUGCUCUUAUCCCUCAGGUUCAGUGAUCUACACUGUCCAAGUUGAGUUCCAGUCUCUACCAAAACAAAUGACAAGAUAAACCUGUGAACUAUUAAUGAAAAAAACACCUUAAAUAAAUGACAGAGCAGCCUUAAUGAUGGCCACAAGUAAGUGCAGUCAUUCUGUUUGAGCAGGAAAGUAAAAACCCACAACACCAAGAACUUCAGCCUUAGACUCGAAUGCCUAUUUUGGUUUUGUUUAAUGCACAACUUAAAAUGGGAAUGUGACUAUUCUUUUAAUUUCUACAGACUUCAGCAUUCUAGGGAAGGAAGCAAGAGGAAAGAGAAAACAGGAUAAUUCCUUCUUAAACCCUACUGCUCUGUGGCAAGCAGAGUGGCAUCACUGAGAGUUCUCCCUGUCUCUUUUUGUUUAAGCUCCAGAGCUACCAAGAAUUGUUCAAGCUGAUCCCAACAGCACAGACACUGCCAGUGACAGCCAGGGGGGGCUUUCUACGUGUUCUACUUAGUCUGAGGUGUGUGAGAGCUGCAGUGAUCCUGUAAAACUUCAUUUCAUCAACGUGAAAGGAAAGGAGAUUAAAAUGGAGUAAGAGGCAUGAGUCAUCACACUGCCAUGCACCACUGGGCUUAGCAGUCAGCAUCCGUGGGGUUUGGGGAGGAAAACCUGGGGUAUUUUUGGCUGUUGCUGUCAAUAGCUGUCAGAAGAGUUGGACUGAGCAAAAUGAGAUUAAAAGGAAGACUAUAAUACAGAAGGGAAGUUUAAAAAAAGCAACAGAUCAGCUUAAUUAAUUGCAGCCUACUUAUAUACUCAUUAACUGCUAUUAUGAGUCAAUCUUUCUGUGCCUCAGAUUUCCAUUGUGAAGGUAGAAGAUACAGAGCAAAGCAACUGUUCUCCAGCCACUCACCAGCAAUGUUUUACAUUUUGUACCUCUUUUUUUAUAGCUCUCAUUUAAAUAGUGUAGUACAAUUUUAAGAAAAAAGUUUUUAUGGGAGAAAUAUGACUGCUGUUUAUACAAGGAGAUUCAGAGCAAUAGUUGGGAUUCAUGCAGUCAUAAGGAGAUGGACUGUCUGACAGUGCUUUUAAACAGCAACUAUCCAGUUAUUAACAACAUUAUUAGAAAAUAUUGGAACUAGAAUUGUGUGUGCGCAUGUGUGUGGGAAAUGGGACUGGAAAAUAAAAAUCUAUAAACCUUAA
Molecule: long non-coding RNA, 9497 nt
Organism: Pseudopipra pipra
Lineage: Eukaryota; Metazoa; Chordata; Aves; Passeriformes; Pipridae
Exons: 2
Source: RefSeq, a predicted model, not a curated record